AGCUGGGCAACAUCACUGAAACCACCAAGUUUGAAAAGUUGGCGGAGGACUGUAAGCGGAGCAUGGACAUUCUGAAGCAAGCCUUCGCCCGGGGUCUCCCCACGCCCACCGCCCGCUUUGAGCAAAGGACCUUCAGCGUCAUCAAGAUCUUCCCUGACCUCAGCAGCAACGACAUGCUCCUCUUCAUCGUGAAGGGCAUCAACUUGCCCACACCCCCAGGUGAGGGGGCUGCAGGCAGGGGUCAGGGUCAUGGGGACCCCCUCUCUGCCCAGCUCUGACCCUUGUUUGCCCACAGGACUGUCCCCUGGCGAUCUGGAUGUCUUUGUUCGGUUUGACUUCCCCUAUCCCAACGUGGAAGAAGCUCAGAAAGACAAGACCAGUGUGAUCAAGAACACAGACUGCCCUGAGUUCAAGGAGCAGUUCAAACUCUGCAUCAACCGCAGCCACCGUGGCUUCCGAAGGGCCAUCCAAAUCAAGGGCAUCAAGUUCGAAGUGGUUCACAAGGGGGGGCUGUUCAAGACUGACCGGGUGCUGGGGACAGCCCAGCUGAAGCUGGAUGUACUGGAGACAGCAUGUGAGGUUCGGGAGAUCCUUGAGGUGAGAGGUGGACAUUCAUCCGCACGCUCCGGUAUGGCCAUGCUACUCGUUAACAUUAUUAAAACACUUCCUGCCUUGAGCCCCCUGUGAGCCCGUCUGUUGACCCAGCCCCUCCCCUCAGAGCCCCAGACCUCCCUACUACCCAGCCCUAAAUACUUGCAGCACCCCACUCCAUUAUGAUCAACUGGUAUCUCAGCCAUACCAUGGGCUCAUAUUUUAGAAACCACUCUUGGCCAGGCACGGUGGCUCAUGCCUGUAAUCGCAGCACUUUGGGAGGCUGAGGCAGGC
RNAcentral lists this small RNA (885 nucleotides) under Pongo abelii (Sumatran orangutan). Its description in RNAcentral is "retained intron". Lineage: Eukaryota; Metazoa; Chordata; Mammalia; Primates; Hominidae. The record is from RNAcentral.